RNAcentral lists this ribosomal RNA (245 nucleotides) under uncultured bacterium. RNAcentral's name for it is "partial 16S ribosomal RNA". It matches the Rfam family "Bacterial small subunit ribosomal RNA", at positions 524 to 768 of the family's 1533-position model. The record is from RNAcentral.
UACGUAGGUGGCGAGCGUUGUUCGGAUUUAUUGGGCGUAAAGGGUUCGUAGGAGGUAUGGUAAGUUCGAUGUGAAAUCCCGUGGCUCAACUGCGGAACUGCAUUGAAAACUGUCGUACUUGAGUGCCAUAGAGGAGAGCGGAAUUCCUGGUGUAGCGGUGGAAUGCGUAGAUAUCAGGAAGAACACCGAUAGCGUAGGCAGCUCUCUGGGUGGCAACUGACUCUGAAGAACGAAAGCGUGGGGAG